RNAcentral lists this ribosomal RNA (500 nucleotides) under uncultured bacterium. Its description in RNAcentral is "partial 16S ribosomal RNA". It matches the Rfam family "Bacterial small subunit ribosomal RNA", at positions 28 to 523 of the family's 1533-position model. The record is from RNAcentral.
GAUGAACGCUGGCGGCGUGCCUAAUACAUGCAAGUCGAACGCGAGCACUUGUGCUCGAGUGGCGAACGGGUGAGUAAUACAUAAGUAACCUGCCCUAGACAGGGGGAUAACUAUUGGAAACGAUAGCUAAGACCGCAUAGGUACGGACACUGCAUGGUGACCGUAUUAAAAGUGCCUCAAAGCACUGGUAGAGGAUGGACUUAUGGCGCAUUAGCUGGUUGGCGGGGUAACGGCCCACCAAGGCGACGCUGCGUAGCCGACCUGAGAGGGUGACCGGCCACACUGGGACUGAGACACGGCCCAGACUCCUACGGGAGGCAGCAGUAGGGAAUUUUCGGCAAUGGGGGAAACCCUGACCGAGCAACGCCGCGUGAAGGAAGAAGGUUUUCGGAUUGUAAACUUCUGUUAUAAAGGAAGAACGGCGGCUACAGGAAAUGGUAGCCGAGUGACGGUACUUUAUUAGAAAGCCACGGCUAACUACGUGCCAGCCGCCGCCGUAA